UUAAGUGACUAAGCGUACAAGGUGGAUGCCUUGGCAAUCAGAGGCGAGGAAGGACGUGCUAAUCUGCGAAAAGCUUGGAUGAGUCGAUAAGAGGCGUUUAAUCCAAGAUGUCCGAAUGGGGAAACCCAGUAGAUGAAGAAUCUACUAUCACUUACUGAAUCCAUAGGUAAGUGAGGCAAACCGGGAGAACUGAAACAUCUAAGUACCCCGAGGAAAAGAAAUCAACCGAGAUUUCGUUAGUAGCGGCGAGCGAACGCGAAGGAGCCUGUUAGUGAUAAUGACAGAGACAGAGGAACAAGCUGGGAAGCUUGGCGAUACAGGGUGAUAGCCCCGUACUCGAAGUCCAGGUCAUGGUACUAAGCUAACGACAAGUAGGGCGGGACACGUGAUAUCCUGUUUGAAGAUGGGGGGACCAUCCUCCAAGGCUAAAUACUCCUGAUUGACCGAUAGUGAACCAGUACUGUGAAGGAAAGGCGAAAAGAACCCCGGUGAGGGGAGUGAAAUAGAACCUGAAACCUUGUACGUACAAGCAGUGGGAGCCCUUUAAGGGUGACUGCGUACCUUUUGUAUAAUGGGUCAGCGACUUAUAUUUUGUAGCGAGGUUAACCGAAUAGGGGAGCCGAAGGGAAACCGAGUCUUAACUGGGCGAAUAGUUGCAAGGUAUAGACCCGAAACCCGGUGAUCUAGCCAUGGGCAGGUUGAAGGUUGGGUAACACUAACUGGAGGACCGAACCGACUAAUGUUGAAAAAUUAGCGGAUGACUUGUGGCUGGGGGUGAAAGGCCAAUCAAACCGGGAGAUAGCUGGUUCUCCCCGAAAUCUAUUUAGGUAGAGCCUUGAGCGGACACCUUCGGGGGUAGAGCACUGUUUCGGCUAGGGGUCCAUCCCGGAUUACCAACCCGAUGCAAACUACGAAUACCGAAGAGUGAUACUCAGGAGACACACGGCGGGUGCUAACGUCCGUCGUGGAGAGGGAAACAACCCAGACCGCCAGCUAAGGUCCCAAAGUCUAUAUUAAGUGGGAAACGAAGUGGGAAGGCUUAGACAGCUAGGAUGUUGGCUUAGAAGCAGCCAUCAUUUAAAGAAAGCGUAAUAGCUCACUAGUCGAGUCGGCCUGCGCGGAAGAUGUAACGGGGCUCAAAUAUAGCACCGAAGCUGCGGCAUCAGUAGCAAUACUGUUGGGUAGGGGAGCGUUCUGUAAGCGGAUGAAGGUGAAUCGAGAGGUUUGCUGGACGUAUCAGAAGUGCGAAUGCUGACAUAAGUAACGAUAAAACGGGUGAAAAACCCGUUCGCCGGAAGACCAAGGGUUCCUGUCCAACGUUAAUCGGGGCAGGGUGAGUCGGCCCCUAAGGCGAGGCUGAAAAGCGUAGUCGAUGGGAAACGGGUUAAUAUUCCCGUACUUGGAUAAACUGCGAUGUGGGGACGGAGUAGGUUAGGUUAUCGCACUGUUGGAUAUGUGCGUUUAAGUUGGUAGGUGUGAAGUUUAGGCAAAUCCGGACUUCUUUAACACCGAGAGAUGAUGACGAGGCUCUACGGAGCUGAAGUAACCGAUACCACACUUCCAGGAAAAGCCACUAAGCUUCAGGUUUAUCUAAACCGUACUGAAAACCGACACAGGUGGUCAGGUAGAGAAUACUCAGGCGCUUGAGAGAACUCGGGUGAAGGAACUAGGCAAAAUAGCACCGUAACUUCGGGAGAAGGUGCGCCGGCGUAGAUUGUAGUCCCUUGCGGGCGAAGGUUGAACCGGUCGAAGAUACCAGCUGGCUGCAACUGUUUAUUAAAAACACAGCACUCUGCAAACACGAAAGUGGACGUAUAGGGUGUGAUGCCUGCCCGGUGCUGGAAGGUUAAUUGAUGGUGUAAUCGAAAGAGAAGCUCCUGAUCGAAGCCCCAGUAAACGGCGGCCGUAACUAUAACGGUCCUAAGGUAGCGAAAUUCCUUGUCGGGU
RNAcentral lists this ribosomal RNA (1947 nucleotides) under human metagenome. RNAcentral describes it as "bacterial LSU rRNA". It matches the Rfam family "Bacterial large subunit ribosomal RNA", at positions 1 to 1977 of the family's 2925-position model. The record is from RNAcentral.